GACGAACGCUGGCGGCGUGCUUAACACAUGCAAGUCGAACGGUGAAGCGCCUUCCUUUUUGGUGGGUGUGGAUGAGUGGCGAACGGGUGAGUAACACGUGAGUAACCUGCCCCCUUCUUCUGGAUAACCGCAUGAAAGUGUGGCUAAUACGGGAUAUUCUGGGUCUGUCGCAUGAUGGGUCUGGGAAAGAUAUUGUUUCGGUGGGGGAUGGGCUCGCGGCCUAUCAGCUUGUUGGUGGGGUGAUGGCCUACCAAGGCGGUGAGGGGUAGCCGGCCUGAGAGGGUGGACGGUCACACUGGGACUGAGACACGGCCAAGACUCCUACGGGAGGCAGCAGUGGAGAAUAUUGCACAAUGGGCGCAAGCCUGAUGCAGCGACGCCGCGUGAGAGAUGGAGGCCUUCGGGUUGUGAACCUCUUUCGCCAGUGAAGCAGGCCUGCCUCGUUUGUGGGUGGGUUGACGGUAGCUGGAUAAGAAGCGCCGGCUAACUACGUG
Molecule: ribosomal RNA, 494 nt
Filed under: uncultured bacterium
Lineage: Bacteria
Description: partial 16S ribosomal RNA
Rfam family: Bacterial small subunit ribosomal RNA
Source: RNAcentral